CCCCUCUCCGCCUCCCUCGGCGCCGCCGCCCACCCCGCUGCUGCCGCCUCCGCCCUCCCGCCUCAGUCAGGACAUGGUCUCCGCGGGCCCGCGCGCGGCUCCCAGCGGCCGGAGGGGCGGAGAGGCGGCGCGGAGGCGGGGGCCGCGGCUCGGGGGCAGGGGCGGAGCGGACGAGGGACUGCCUCGGGCGCUGAGGACUCCGAAUGGCGGCGGUCAGGACCCUAGAGCUAAAUAAACCCCGCGGCGACCGCACAACGUCAGGGACUGGACCUUGCUGCUCGCCGUCCUGUGAUUGGUUCCGAGGCCGCCGGAAGUCCAGCCAAUAGACAGCCGGCUCUUUCCAGGCGCCGGAGGCGGGCCGCGGCCGCUGACGUCAGCAGCGUGCGUCCUGAUUGUGAGGCCGCGGCGCGCGCGGUCCCGCGACGCGUCCUCGGCGUUGGCAAGUGUCCCGAAGUGCUGGUACGGGAUGCAUGUGGAAGGCAGGAGGCAGGAGAAUUCUGAGUGCUCAGCACUGGAGUAAGAUGCAGCCUUUGCUGUGGAAGCCUUCAGAGUCCAGAUAAACCCCACAUUACAGAGGUUCGGAGGUUAGUCCAUGAUCAUCAUGGCAGGAAGCAUGGAGGCAGACGUGGUGCUGGAGCGGUAGCUGAGAGGGACACUGGACCUGGCGUGAGCUUCUGAAACCUCAAAAAAACGUGACACACUUCCUCCAACCAGGCCACCCUCCUAGUCCUUCUAAUCCUUUCAAAUAGUGCUGUUCCCUGGUGACUAAGCCUUCAAAUACAUGAGCCUAUGGGGGCCAUUCAAACCACCACAGAUGGCUCAGCCAUUAAGAGCACUGGCUGCUUUCCCAGAGAACCCAGGGUCAAUUCCAAGAACCCACAUGGCAGCUCACAACUUCCUGUAAUUCUAGACCCAGGGAAUCGGAUACCUUCUUGUCUUCAUGGUAACUGCAUACAUGUGGUGCACAGACAUACACGUGGGCAAGAGACCCUACAUAUUAAAUAAAAGUAAAGAUAAAUUUUUAAAUAAAAAAUUAAUUAAUUAAAAUAAUGUCUAUACCUCAAAAUAGCACUGCAUUUAGAGAUGGGGGUCUUUAAAGGGGAAAUUAAGGAACUAGAGAGAUGACGCACCAGUUGAAAGCAUUGACUGCACUUCCAGAGGACCUAGGUUUGAUUCCCAGCACCCACAUGGAAGCUCACAACUGUCAUUAACUCCAGCCCCAGGGAAUCUGAUGCACAUGGUGAACAGACAUAUGUACAGGCAAAACAUUCAUACAAAUAAAAUUCAAUAAUAAUAAUAACAACAACAACUGGUUCUGGAAGAGCAGCCAGUGCUCUUAACAUUAUAUGAAAAACAAAAAUCCAGGGGCUGGAGAGAUGGCUCAGUGGUUAAGAGCAUUGGCUGCUCUUCCAGAGGACCUGGUUCAAUUCCUAGCACCCACAAGGCAGCUCACAACUGUCUAUAACUCUCGUUCCAGGAGAUCUGACCACCUCACACAGACAUACAUGCAUGUAGAACACCAACACACAUAAAAUAACAAAAACAAAUAUAUUAUUAAAAAAAAAUAAAGAACAAUUUAGGGGCUGGAGAGAUGGCUCAGUGGUUAAGUGCACUGGAGAGGACAGGUUUCCAGAGAAACCCAGGUUUGAUUCUCAGCAUCUACAUGGCAGUUUACAAACAGCUACAACUCUGGGGAUCUGACACGCUAUUCUGGUCUUUGAGGGUACUGUAUAUAUGUGGUGCACAUACAUGCAGACAAAACACCCAUACACAUAAAAUAGAUAUAUAUAGAGAGAUGGAUAGAUAGAUAGAUAGAUAGAUAGAUAGAUAGAUAGAUAAAAUAAUAAUGGUAAUUUAAAAAUAAAUAAGUUUAAAACUAGGGGUAGGUUUAUAGAAAUUGACUUCUUCAAUCCAAUAGAAUUGCUACAAAAAAAGGGCCCAGCCCAUUGUGGAUGGUGCUAUUCCUGGGCAAGUGGCCCUGGAUGGCAUAAGAAAGCAGGCUGAGCAAGCCAACAAACAGCAUCCUUCCAUUGCUUCUGCUUCUGUUCCCACUUCCAGUUUCCUGACUUUAGUUCCUGCCCUGACUUCCUUUGAUGAUGGACCGUGCUGUGGAGCAGAAGCUGAGGCAAACCCUUUCUCCCCAAGCUGCUUUUGGUCACGAUGUCUUGUCCCAGCAAUAGCAACCUGAACAAAGGUCGGAGUGAUGGCCGAUAAGGGACAGGCAGGGGAAUUCUCAAGCACAGUGUGUCCUAUUUCUUUUCAUUUUUAUUCGUGUGUAUGAGUGUUUCGUCUGUGUGUAUGUAUGUGCACCACCUGUGUGCCCAGUGCGCAGGGAGAUCAGAAGAGGGCAUCAGAUGGUUAUAGGCUGUAGCCAUAAGUUUCUCCAGUUCUGUCUGGCCCCACCAUCAGGACGAGUCUCUCUCAUCUGUGUUGUGCAGCUGCUUGGUCCCAAGUAAACACACAGAGGCUGAUAUUACUUACAAACUGUAUGGCCUAUGGGUCAGGCUUCUUGCUAGCUAGCUCUUAUAACUUAAUUCAACCCAUUUCUGUUCAUCUAUAUGUUGCCACAUGGUUAUGGCAUUAUCCGUCCGCUGGCAUCACCGGUCUGCUGGCAUCUUGUUGCUCCUUGGGUGGCGGGCUGGCAUCUCUCCCAUCCUGCCUUUCUCUUUCCUGUAUCUCUGCUUGGAUUUCCCACCUGCCUCUAAGCUGCCUUGCCAUAGGCCAAUGUGGCUUAUUUAUUAACCAACCAGAGCAACACAUAUUCACAGCAUACAGAAAGACAUCCCCACAGCAGUGAUCUACUAUGUGGGUGCUGGAAACCCAGAUUCUCUGGAAGAACAAGCGGGGUUUUUUUUGUUUUUUUUUGUUUUGUUUUGUUUUACUGCUGAGCCCUCUCUCCAGCUCUAUGAUCCAUUUCUUGAUCUUCAGGCCAGUUACCGAGCUGAGGUGACUGGGAAAAUUCCAUAUGUUUAUGAUUCGUGUCCUUUUCUGUGCUAUUAUACCUUGGUUAAAAACUUACUUGAACAAAAGAGAAGAGAAGGAAAAGAAAGCAGGAAGGGGUGGGGAAGAAAGAGGAGGGUCAGGAAUGGGGCUGGACACUGGUCCUGCCUGGUCUCAGGGUGCCUGGAAUGCUCCGGUGUACUCACAUGGUUUGGUUGGGGACAGAUGGUUUGAAAGAGGUGCCAGAACUCUCUCCCACCCACCUCUGCUCCUGAGGGCUUGGCCGUCACUCAGCCUUGUCCAUAAUUCUGCACACCCUCCCUGGUGCAUGGAGAUAUGAGUGCCAGCCCUCCGGAUACAGAGCUGGAUUAAUUUGAUCCUCCACCUGGGUGUCUGUGCGUAGGCAGGCUGAGGGAAUGUGCAGGUGGAAUCCAUGUUGAGCUGCUAAGAUGGCCUUGACCUCCACCAAAGGUGGCCUUCCCUGUCCAAGCUGGGCUAAUGGGGGAGGGAGCAAGUGUGCCAGUCAGAAAGAGGGUUCCAGAGAUUGCAGCUGCCCCAAGUGUGGUCCCUUUGUCCUUGUCUGGCUCUGGCUUGCAUACAUUGAAAGUGCCAGGACACUGCGAAGGGCAUUUCAGGCUGGGUGAGGGGACAGCCAUACAUCCUAAACUGGCUGCCAAGCCCUGUGGGGCUUCCAGAACACUUGCGUGUUUCUGCUUGCUUUUUGCUUAUGUCUAUCUGGGGCAGGAGCUGUCCUUUCCUGGGUUAGCACUCACCGAGCUCAUCUUAAUUGGGAGCAGCUACAGAGGAGGCAGGAGGCUCCCUCCUGGAUUUUUCAGCAGCUUUGUGACAUUGGGUACAUCAUGAUGCACACCAGCCUCUCUGGUCCCCUCCUUAAGAGACAGAUGCUCAGCAUCCUUGGCUGGCCAGUGUUGUAGCCACUAGCCACACAGCUAUUUAAGCAAAAUUGCAUUAAAUUUUAAAGUGUGUGUGAGAGCAUGCAGGUGUACAAACAGAAGCCAGAGGAAGAUGUGAGCCACUCUCCACCCUAUCUCCUUGAGACAAGGUCUCUCACUGAAUCUGGAGCUUGCUUUGGGGCUAGUCUGGUAGCUAGCAAGUCCCAGUGGUCCUCCUCCACCCCCAUCCUCAGUGCCGGGGUUACAAGUGUCCUUGGGUGUUUUGACACGGCUUUGGGGAUCUGAACUCAUGUCCUCAUGAUCUUGCAGCAAGCACUCUUACUGAACCAUCUCCCCUGCCUCCCUUUCUUCUUGAUUUCGACACAGAAUCACAUAUUCCAGGCUAGCCUCCAGCUUGCCGUGUAGCUGAAUUAAAACUUCUGAUCUUUCCUCUUUCACCUCCCAACUGCUGGGAUUACAGGCAUGAACCCCUGUGCCUGGCUUGCACAGUGCUGGGAACAAACCAUGGACUACUUCCUGGGGCUAUGCAAGUACUCUAUCCCCAGCCCCUAAAACUCAUUUUUUUUUUUUUUUUUUUUGAAUUGCCAGGCACAUUUGCGAGCUCAGUAGCCCACGUGACCUGAGGCAGACUGCGCUAAACAGUGCUGAGGCGGGACAUUGGGACAGAAGGUUCUAUUGGACAGUGCUGGCCUGGCCCCAUCUGUACUUCUAUUUCCUAUAUCCUGCUUCAUUUUCAGAGUACAGCUCUCAGGGCUUGGUUUUUUCCUUCCACUGUGGGUUCUGGGGAAUCUAGAUACAUUUCCUUUUUCAUUCUGACCAAAGCUCACCAAAAGACCAAUCUAGCCAACUGAUAACAUUUAGGAAAGGCACUUGAUGCUUGUGGCUGGCCAUCUCCCACACUUAGCCCAUGCUCCUCCAUAGAGCCCGUUCUGUGGAGUAGCUCAGAGAACAGGGCUCUCAGCACCCACCCCUGCUGGUUCUGGUCUAUAAAACCAGUCAUCAUGGAGGAAAGCUUAAUCCUGGACAAUAGUAACCUCAACUUACUGUCCUCUACACUUUGUUUUCAAGAUCUUAUGCUCUGCCCCUAACACAGCCUUCUGAAAUAAGUAUUGUCACCCAUCUGUAACUGCAGAUGGGGCGGGCUCCGAGACAGGGACUGAUUGCCCUAGGAUGUGUAAUUAAGGAAAGUACAGGGCUAAGAUUCCAGCUGAAGUCUUUUUGUUUUGUUUUUGCUUUUUGAGACAGGGUUUCUCUGUGAAACAGUACUGGUUAUCCUCAAACUCACUCUGUAGACCAGGCUGGCCUCGAACUCACAGAGAUCUGCCUGCCUCUGCCUCCUGAAUGCUGAGAUUAAAGGCGUGCGUCACCACUGCCCAGCCCAACUCGAGUCUUGCUUUGGGUUCUCUUAGCCUACUUCCUAGGCCUGGGCCAGGUGACCCGAUGGCCAGGUGGCCCCUGAGUUCUAUACUUCAUCACAGAAAUGGUUGAUGUUCUCCUUGAGACAGUGGUGUGUUUGACAGCAAGGGACGCAGGAGAGAGGCCAGGACUGAGGAGACAGGACAUCUUCUAAG
Peromyscus californicus insignis is the source of this 5425-nucleotide long non-coding RNA. RefSeq lists it as uncharacterized. The record is from RefSeq and is a predicted model, not a curated record. NCBI's taxonomy places the organism in Eukaryota, Metazoa, Chordata, Mammalia, Rodentia, Cricetidae. The transcript has 3 exons.